AGUGAACGCUGGCGGUAGGCCUAACACAUGCAAGUCGAACGGCAGCACAGUAAGAGCUUGCUCUUACGGGUGGCGAGUGGCGGACGGGUGAGGAAUACAUCGGAAUCUACUUUUUCGUGGGGGAUAACGUAGGGAAACUUACGCUAAUACCGCAUACGACCUACGGGUGGAAGCAGGGGAUCUUCGGACCUUGCGCGAUUGAAUGAGCCGAUGUCGGAUUAGCUAGUUGGCGGGGUAAAGGCCCACCAAGGCGACGAUCCGUAGCUGGUCUGAGAGGAUGAUCAGCCACACUGGAACUGAGACACGUUCCAGACUCCUACGGGAGGCAGCAGUGGGGAAUAUUGGACAAUGGGCGCAAGCCUGAUCCAGCCAUACCGCGUGGGUGAAGAAGGCCUUCGGGUUGUAAAGCCCUUUUGUUGGGAAAGAAAAGCAGCAGGUUAAUACCCCGCUGUUCUGACGGUACCCAAAGAAUAAGCACCGGCUAACUUCGUG
RNAcentral lists this ribosomal RNA (492 nucleotides) under uncultured bacterium. RNAcentral describes it as "partial 16S ribosomal RNA". It matches the Rfam family "Bacterial small subunit ribosomal RNA", at positions 29 to 507 of the family's 1533-position model. The record is from RNAcentral.